UACGUAGGGGGCAAGCGUUAUCCGGAUUCACUGGGUGUAAAGGGAGCGUAGACGGCCAUGCAAGCCUGGAGUGAAAGCCCGGGGCCCAACCCCGGGACUGCUCUGGGAACUGUGCGGCUGGAGUGCGGGAGGGGCAGGCGGAAUUCCUGGUGUAGCGGUGAAAUGCGUAGAUAUCAGGAGGAACACCGGCGGCGAAGGCGGCCUGCUGGACCGCGACUGACGUUGAGGCUCGAAAGCGUGGGGAGCAAACAGG
RNAcentral lists this ribosomal RNA (253 nucleotides) under uncultured bacterium. RNAcentral's name for it is "partial 16S ribosomal RNA". It matches the Rfam family "Bacterial small subunit ribosomal RNA", at positions 524 to 776 of the family's 1533-position model. The record is from RNAcentral.